RNAcentral lists this long non-coding RNA (248 nucleotides) under Phaseolus vulgaris (common bean). RNAcentral's name for it is "long non-coding RNA (PVUL_LNC005171)". The record is from RNAcentral. Lineage: Eukaryota; Viridiplantae; Streptophyta; Magnoliopsida; Fabales; Fabaceae.
AGUUCGUUUUUGAAUGGGUCACAGAGAAUCAAAUAUAUUAUUAUAGUGAAGAAGGAUAUGCAUAUAAAAAUACAGGUUGGAGGUUUUGGUGGUGAGGAAGGUUCUGGAUUUGUGGUGUGCAAGCAUGGGCUGGAUCUGCAUGGCUGAUUCACUCACUCAGUGAGCCACUAAGAUCGAGGGAAUUGAUAUGGAGAAAGUGUGUGUGGUUUUAGUGGCGUGUCACACACUACUUUGCUUCUCAAUAAAUU